UUUCUGCUCAUUCGCAUCGCUGCCGUUCCGUCCGCCUGUCGUUUACCUGAAACUCUGUGUCGUUGUGGCGUAUUUUCGUGGUCGUUCAGUGUUUCAGUGAAUUCUGUGUUUAUUGCGUGCAGCCUCCGAGAGCGAGGGCCGAACAUGACGCACAACAACUCGUGAGGAGUCCACCGAAAUGUCGAUUACGGGCGCGAUCCGUUCGUGAAAGUUUCCUGGCGUUGUGCAGAUCGUUCGCCGCGACCAAUGGUGUGUUGUGAAAGAAGAGUCGAUGUGAAGUCAAUGGUAAUUGUGUGGCGCGUUGUGCUUGCGAAUUGUGCGAACGAAUAUUGUGACGAGCAGUGAAAAGGAGCAGCCCAGAUGGCGGUGUGGAAGGACGUAGGCGAGCCGUAUCUGUACGGAAUCGCUAAAAAUAACUUCUAUCAAGAGGACAAACCACAUCGAUUGUGUCUGGAUGUUGGCGAUGCAGUGAUUAUAAUCAAAGAGACUGAUGAGUGGUAUUUUGGGUACAACAAAAGAGACAAAAAUCAGCUUGGCAUCUUCCCGAAGUCAUAUGUUCAACUAAUUGAAGCCGUUAAUGUUAAAGAUGAAUACGUUAUCAAACGAACAGAAAUCGUCGAUGAAAUAACGACCGUACUUAAAGAAUGGGGUACAAUCUUCAAGAAUUUCUAUCUGAGCAAUAAUCAGAAAUUUCAACCGAUAAGACAGAAAAUGUUGGAGUUAAUUCGUUUAAGAUCACAGAUGCUGUCUGGUAAUCUACCAGUUGAUGAGAUGCGUGAAGUGAAAUUACAAGCAACAGCUGAAGUUGAUACAGGGAAUAGUAUAUUGGGUCUUGACAUGGUAGUCCGGGACGAUACUGGAAAUGUACUGGAUAUUAAUUCGACUUGUACGACUGAACUGUACGAACAUCAUGUCCAUGCCGUCGAUAGGAUACGCAGGGCAACGAAUACAUAUCACAAAAAUCGAAUAUCGAAAACAAUGAACAAACAUUCACAUAGCGUUCUGCUUGCCGUCCAUGCAUUUGUGUGUAAAUUUCAAGAAGACUCCGACCUUCUAUUCACACUCUACGAUGGAGACGAACAUAAAGCGAUUACAGAAAACUACGUUGUCAAGUGGGGUCGACAAGGCAUCGCUCGAGAUCUAGAUCAAUUCGAUAAUACUCGUGUCCUUUUCACAGAUUUAGGAAGCAAUGACUUGAAUAGAAAUAAAAUCUAUUUAAUAUGCUACGCGAUACGAAUAGGGUCGAUGGAAAUGAAGGAGUCGGAGUCGAAACGUGCAAGUAUGGCGAACGCGGUUCUGAAUACUGGACAGAAAAAACUAUCGCAGCUGUCCAUGAAUUCAAUGGGAUCAUAUAAUUUGACCGAACAAAUGCGUCGACCGUUUGGAGUGGCGGCAAUUGAUUUAACGCCAAUCAUCAAGAAACCAGAGGAUUUCAAAAAUAAUCUGGAUUUACCUUUUAUUCUAUGUGAAAAGGAGAAUUUAGACAGUACACUUAAGAAGUUAAUACUUAAUAAGGAUAUUGGAAAGAUAGAUUCGAAACUAGCAGUUAGUGUUGAGGUGUUGCAUGGUGAUAUUAAACAGAUCAAAGAGGAAUAUCCACAUUUGGUGCAUGGAAAUGUUCCAUUUGCGCGUAAAAUGGGUUUCCCCGAAGUGAUAUUUCCAGGUGAUGUCCGCAACGAUCUAUAUUUAACUCUUGCAAGCGGUGAGUUCUCAAAAGGGACUCGUGGUGGCGAGAAAAAUAUUGAAGUGUCCGUUGUUGUUUGCAACGAAACUGGUCAAGUUGUUCCUGGUGUAAUUACACUUGGAGCUGGGGCACAGAUGUUAAAUGAAUACAAAUCCGUUGUUUAUUAUCACGAAGACAAACCGAAAUGGAAUGAGACAUUCAAAAUACAAGUGCCAAUUGAAGAAUUCAAACAGUGCCAUCUAAGAUUCACUUUCAAACAUCGCAGUUCAAAUGAACAAAAGGAUCGUACGGAAAAGCCUUUUGCUCUCUCCUAUGUGAAAUUGAUGCAAACAAAUGGUACAACAUUACAACACAAAGCCCACCAGCUACUCGUGUACAAAAUUGAUCAUAAAAAAUACGAAAAGGAAAGUGAAUUCAACUAUUUGAGUUUACCAUCCCAACCAGGAGAAUUGACUGGAAAUACAAAGCCAUCGGUUGCUGGAUUUACUCUCGCUCCAAAGGACCUAUUCACGAUAGAGACGAAUUUAUGCAGCACAAAAUUAACACAAAAUGUCGAUUUAUUGGGACUAUUGAAUUGGUCCGCACAUACGGAAACACUUGAAAUGUCAUUAGAAGCCUUGAUGAACGUUGAUGCUGGGGAAAUAGUUAAAUUUUUGCAGGAUAUACUUGAUGCAUUGUUUAAUAUUUUGGCCGAUGAUGAUACCCCAGAUAAAUACGACUACUUAGUAUUCAACUGCCUAAUUCGACUUAUCGAAAUUCUAUCAGACUUGAAAUAUCAACACUUUCAAUCAGUAUUGGACUUAUACAUAAACGAAAGCUUUUCAGCGACAUUAGCAUACUCUAAAUUAUUGAACGUACUUCAAAACCACAUCAAAAACGCAACCCGAAUAGAAGUCAAUCAUGACUGUAUCUCUCUGCAUACGGAUACCGAUCGAUACUCUGAAGAGUCAUUGUACAAAACAACCAAAAAUCUUCAAUACAUCAUUAAAUUCAUCAUACAAUCGCGAAUAUUAUUUUCAAAGUUGAAUAAUGACAAGGAUCGAGAUAAAUUUGAGUAUAGGCUUGAAGAGCUCCUUUCUCUAUUCACUGAACUUGUCGAGAGCUCCAACGAAAGAUUGAGAUCCCAAGGAGCAAUUUUGAAGUAUUUACAUGUGAUAGCGACUGAUUUGAUGCAAGUUUAUGAUCCAGUUAAGUUGAGUCAUAGCAUUGUGGAUAUUUUAACGCAUGUACCCUCGGGACGAUUGACUCAAUCACGAAUGACCUGCAUCAAGGAUUUAGUUGAUUCGAAACUGUUUCGAUUGCCAUCUUGUCGAGCGGUCCUUCUUCCUGUUUUCUGUAAGCAAAUUAAAGAUAAAUUGGAAAGCAAAGAAGAGGGUGACGUAAAAUCAGGUAUUUGGCAACAUGAAAAGAAUCUAACGAAGGCAGCUAAGGUUUUGGGUGAAUCAAAAUCCCACCUACACACGCGUGAAACAACAGCAAAAUCAAAGAUCUCUGAAUGCGUAAAUAUCAUGAGCAACAUACUAAAACUCCUCUUCCAAGAGGACAUUGGUCCCACCGACAGUGAUGUUCGUGACAUCAUGUUAAUUCUCCUUCGGACUGUAAUUCAAACUUCAAUUGCUAUGGAUCGUGACAACCCUCACGUGGGACACUUGGUGGCGAUCAUGCUUGGCAUUAUACGCAGCAUGAAGACAAUCCACUACGAUAUUUACGUGAAACAUUUCAACACUCGUUACGAUCUUCAAGAUUUUCUCACUGAAAUCCUGCUUGUGUACAAAGAUCUAGUUUCAAAGCCAGUUUUUCCAACCGAUUGGAUGGACAUGAUUAUGCAUCAGAAUACUGUGAUACUGGAAAGUUUAAGGCAAUUUUCCAUUAUAAUCAUUGAUUACUUCUUUUGUCCGUUCGAGAAGCAAGUUUGGUCGAACUUCUUUCAGUGUUCGAUUGCGUUCCUGAUACAGACGCCUUUGCAAUUGGAUCAAUUCAGUAGAAGUAAGCAGUCGGCGAUUCUAUCAAGGUACAAGGAUAUAAGACAUGAAACGGCCACUGAAAUCAGGAAAAUGUGGUUCCAGUUGGGAGAGCAUAAAGUGCAGUUCGUGCCUCAACUGGUGGAGCCUAUUUUAGAAAUGAGCAUGAUCCCUGAAGUCGAGCUCAGAAGGGCAACAAUUCCGAUAUUUUUUGACAUGAUGCAGUGCGAAUACUACAGUUCACGAUAUAUUGUUGAUAGCUAUGGAGAUACGAAAAGAAACGCUUCACAUUGUAAGGCGAAUUUCAAUGAGUUUGAGACAGAGAUGAUUGAAAAACUGGAUGUAUUGGUGGAAGGUGGACGCGGUGAUCAUGAGUAUAAAGUCCUUUUUGAAGAGAUAAUGAUGGAGAACUGUGAGGGUCACAAUACACUUAAUGUGGAUGGUAUACGAUUUGUGCGAAUUGUUACCGAACUCAUGGAGAAGCUGCUGGAGUAUCGUUUGAUCAUAAUGAAUGAUGAAAGCAAGGAGAACCGGAUGGCGUGUACUGUCAGCCUUUUGCAGUUUUAUGAUUCCGUGAAUAGAAAGGAAAUGUACAUUCGUUACGUAUACAAACUCUUCGACCUUCAUAUGGAAUUCGACAACUAUAUCGAAGCUGCAUUUACUUUGAAGUUACACAGUGAUCUCUUGUUCUGGGAUGAAACCGAAUUGUCUCCAUUGUUACGAUCUCAUCGACAUCCAAGCUGCCGAUCACACCGACAACUGAAGGAGGCACUUUACAAUGAAAUCAUUGAAUAUUUCGACAAAGGCAAGAUGUGGGAAUGUGCAAUUGAAAUGUGCAAGGAGCUCGCAAUGCAAUACGAAAAUGAAGUUUUUGAUUACCUUAGCCUGAGUACAAUCCAUACAAAGAUGGCGUUAUUCUAUGAGAAGAUUCUAAAAGAGAUGCGUCAUGAAUCGGAGUAUUUCCGGGUGGCAUUCUUUGGUCUUCGAUUUCCUGAUUUCUUGAGGAAUAAGGUAUUCAUCUAUCGUGGCAAGGAGUAUGAAAGACUGAGCGAUUUCUGUGCACGAAUUUUAACUCAACAUCCUGCUGCGGAGUUGAUGCAAACAUUGACAACACCUGGGUCAGAAAUUACACAGUCCGAUGGACAGUAUAUUCAAAUUAACAGUGUGGAGCCAAUAAUGGAUGAUCAGCACAGCAAGCUGAAGAAUAAGAUCAUUGCGAGGGACAUUAUCAAGUACUAUCAAACGAAUAAUGUCCAGAAAUUCAAGUUUUCACGACCGUUUAAGGAUAAUAAUGAUGGAGACGGAAAUCAAGUGAGCAAUUUGUGGUUGGAGAGGACAGUGAUGAUCACAAAAUAUCCACUGCCUGGAAUCUUGAGAUGGUUCCCGGUCAUCGAGUCGGAGACUUACAAGAUUUCACCAAUCGAAUAUGCUGUUGAGACAAUGGAACUCACAAAUAACAUGAUUCGUGACCUAAUCAUCGCACAUAAGAGUGAUGAGAAUUUACCAAUUAAUCCGAUGAGUAUGAAAAUCAAUGGAAUCGUUGAUCCGGCUGUGAUGGGCGGUUUUAGUAAGUACGAAGAAGCAUUCCUGACCCCUGAGUAUUUGGAAGCUAAUCCCGAAAAUGCCAUAAUAGUUGAAAAGUUGAAGAACUUAAUUGCAUCACAAAUUCCACUGUUGGAGAUAGCUCUUGCUGUACACAAGGUGAAAAUACCACCGAGCCUUUCACUUUUCCAUGAGCAUCUGGAAAAGUGUUUCGGGGAGAUGCAAUGCAGCGUGGAAGCAAAAUAUGGAAAGAGAACCUGUGAUCUUAAAUUUGACCGUGAUAGCUUUGUAACGAUGCGUCGAAACGGUUUUAUUGCACAAACUAGUCUAGACUGUAACAACAGGCUGUCAGAAACAAGUAUGGGAUCAUCUGAUAGCGGUUUGUCAAAGUCAACGCAGAGCAGUCGGCCACAGACUAACUCGAUUAAAUCAACUUUAGCUAGCUUUAAUUUCAACACAGCGAAUUUAACACGAACAUCUUUGGGUCAUUCGUCAACAACAAAGUCGAAAGGUAAAGACAAGAAUCCAAAGAGACGAUCGAGUAAAAAGCUGGAUCGAGAACAUCUAAGUCUUCCGGUGGCCAACUGUCAAUGGUACACAUCCUCCAACCUGGCAUCGAUAACGCCGACACCAAGCGAAAAAGAUACACUGGAUUCAAGUUCGGCACCGAUUGUGACCAACAACGUUCCAGUUUUCGAAUUAACGGAAGAAGUACUGUUGAUGAGGAGGUCAAUAUUUAAGCGCUAAUACCUUAUACGAAAAUAAAUUUUCAUGCUUCACAUUGAGAACAAAGAAAACGGAGAGCCGAUUGCAUAUUACUACUAUGACUAACCACACAGCGUCCCCUCCGAUCGGAGAUUGAACGCGAACGACGAUUAUCGCGGCCAGCUAGCAUGGCUACUCCUACUUCGAGCAUGAAAACUCUUGUAUCCGGUGAUACACACUCGUUAUCG
RNAcentral lists this unclassified non-coding RNA (6140 nucleotides) under Hermetia illucens (black soldier fly). Its description in RNAcentral is "dedicator of cytokinesis protein 1, transcript variant X1". Lineage: Eukaryota; Metazoa; Arthropoda; Insecta; Diptera; Stratiomyidae. The record is from RNAcentral.